GUUAGUUUUUGUUCUUGAAUUGGAAAUGACUUACAGAUCCUCCACAGAGCACCACGCCUGACCUGAGUUUUAUUAUUCUUGUGAUUCUGACAGAAUUAAUUUUCUGUUUUCUAGCUGCUAAUGAAUCCCAGACGACGAUCCUGACAUUCAGACCUCGAUUGUUGCUGCUAGCCGGAUGUGUUCUAGACGGAUGUAGCAAAUUUUUUUAAAAAAAGGUGGUGAAAAGUCAGAAACGUGGCGGUGUGAACACUGGAGAUUGAAGCAGCCGGAGAUGAAACUGGGAGUUUGUAGAUAUGGAACCACUAGACUAGAGCGUUUUUACUUCCUGUUUUCCUGUAAAUACCCACUUCGAUGUUAUGGACGGAAGCAGGUGAGGACGCAGAAGAAGAAAAAAAUGAUGCUUUUCUUUGCCUUUUUCUGUUUUUAGUUUCUUCGCAUGUUUAACCACCUGUUCUGUAGAUCGGAGGCAAUACGCUGCAGGGUUCUAGGAAAAACCCCCAAGCUUUUUGUUUUCCUUUUUCUCCCAACACUGAGCUGUUAAAGUGAAAGCGUUUUCUGGAGAGAGUCACACGUUUAAUGUUCCUUUAUGCACAGCGUAGCUUCAUGACUGGACUCAUCUUUUACUGGAUCUUGUUUUGUCUGGCGGUGGAGGUUUGAUUUAAGGCCAGCUGAAGCCUUUUACAUGUGCAGGAUGAUCCACACCCUGUGAAUAAAGGUCAGGAGGCACAAACCAUAGAGCAGAAGAUAUAUAUACUGUAAGAACUUUCAUUAUUCCGAUGAUAUCUUACCGAUCGUUUUAGAGAAAGACAAAAAAAAGUCACUUAUUAAAGCUUAGCCGUCUUUCUACAGAAUAGAGAACAUAGUUAUAAGGAUUUCUAAAAAAGACAAGACAAUGUUUUUAUUGUGGUAUUAUUUGUAUUUCAAUUUUUGUACGUAUCAAGACUGUGAACGUGUGUGAGUGUGUGUCGGAGUGUGUAGCCGAGCAGGUGUGUGUGUGUGUGUGUGUGUGUGUGUGUGUGUGUGUGUGUGUGUGUGUGUGUGUGUGUGUGUGUGUGUGUGUGUGUGUGUGUGUGUGUGUGUGCAGGUGUGCGACAUGCAUGUGGGUGUAUGUGUCCACCUCGUCUGAAUCACUGGAAAAGACAACCUCAAACCUGGUAACACACAUCUGUGAUGUUGGGAAUUCUACAAUAAAUGUCCUCUCCUUGUACAGCAGCGACCCCAGCCCCGCUGUCCUUCUUCACACCUGAUUUACACCAAACACCUGUCCAAACACCUGUCCAAAAGGGACCAAAAACUGUCCAAAAC
Amphiprion ocellaris (clown anemonefish) is the source of this 1305-nucleotide long non-coding RNA. NCBI's taxonomy places the organism in Eukaryota, Metazoa, Chordata, Actinopteri, Pomacentridae. The record is from Ensembl.